RNAcentral lists this ribosomal RNA (387 nucleotides) under uncultured Helicobacter sp. RNAcentral describes it as "bacterial SSU rRNA". It matches the Rfam family "Bacterial small subunit ribosomal RNA", at positions 72 to 494 of the family's 1533-position model. Lineage: Bacteria; Pseudomonadati; Campylobacterota; Epsilonproteobacteria; Campylobacterales; Helicobacteraceae. The record is from RNAcentral.
UAGCUUGCUAGAAUGCUGAUUAGUGGCGCACGGGUGAGUAACGCAUAGGUCAUGUGCCUCUUAGUUUGGGAUAGCCAUUGGAAACGAUGAUUAAUACCAGAUACUCCCUACGGGGGAAAGAUUUAUCGCUAAGAGAUCAGCCUAUGUCCUAUCAGCUUGUUGGUAAGGUAAUGGCUUACCAAGGCUAUGACGGGUAUCCGGCCUGAGAGGGUGAACGGACACACUGGAACUGAGACACGGUCCAGACUCCUACGGGAGGCAGCAGUAGGGAAUAUUGCUCAAUGGGGGAAACCCUGAAGCAGCAACGCCGCGUGGAGGAUGAAGGUUUUAGGAUUGUAAACUCCUUUUGUUAGAGAAGAUAAUGACGGUAUCUCACGAAUAAGCACA